RNAcentral lists this ribosomal RNA (496 nucleotides) under uncultured bacterium. RNAcentral's name for it is "partial 16S ribosomal RNA". It matches the Rfam family "Bacterial small subunit ribosomal RNA", at positions 29 to 507 of the family's 1533-position model. The record is from RNAcentral.
AUGAAUGCUGGCGGCGUGCCUAAUACAUGCACGUCGAGCGAACAGACGAGGAGCUUGCUCCUCUGACGUUAGCGGCGGACGGGUGAGUAACACGUGGAUAACCUACCUAUAAGACUGGGAUAACUUCGGGAAACCGGAGCUAAUACCGGAUAAUAUAUUGAACCGCAUGGUUCAAUAGUGAAAGACGGUUUUGCUGUCACUUAUAGAUGGAUCCGCGCCGCAUUAGCUAGUUGGUAAGGUAACGGCUUACCAAGGCAACGAUGCGUAGCCGACCUGAGAGGGUGAUCGGCCACACUGGAACUGAGACACGGUCCAGACUCCUACGGGAGGCAGCAGUAGGGAAUCUUCCGCAAUGGGCGAAAGCCUGACGGAGCAACGCCGCGUGAGUGAUGAAGGUCUUCGGAUCGUAAACCUCUGUUAUUAGGGAAGAACAAAUGUGUAAGUAACUAUGCACGUCUUGACGGUACCUAAUCAGAAAGCCACGGCUAACUACGUG